Molecule: ribosomal RNA, 481 nt
Filed under: uncultured bacterium
Lineage: Bacteria
Description: partial 16S ribosomal RNA
Rfam family: Bacterial small subunit ribosomal RNA
Source: RNAcentral
GACGAACGUUGGCGGCGUGCUUAAUACAUGCAAGUCAACUGAAGCAGUGGUAGCAAUAUCGCUGUGGAGGUGGCGCACGGGCGAGUAACACGUAGGUAAUCUGCCUUCAGGUCUGGCAUAACUCCGGGAAACCGGGGCUAAUAGCAGAUGAUGCAGCGGCUCGACAUCGAGACAGUUGUUAAAGCUAUGGCGCCUGAAGAUGAGCCUGCGUCUGAUUAGCUAGUUGGCGGGGUAACGGCCCACCAAGGCAACGAUCAGUAGCUGGUCUGAGAGGAUGAUCAGCCACACUGGAACUGAGACACGGUCCAGACUCCUACGGGAGGCAGCAGUAAGGAAUAUUGCUCAAUGGGAGAAAUCCUGAAGCAGCAACGCCGCGUGAGGGACGAAGGGCUUUUGCUUGUAAACCUCUGUAGUGAGAGAAAAAAAUCCCAAUCUUUGGGACAUGAUGGUAUCUCAAAAGUAAGCCCCGGCUAACUACGUG